Molecule: long non-coding RNA, 225 nt
Filed under: Elaeis guineensis (African oil palm)
Lineage: Eukaryota; Viridiplantae; Streptophyta; Magnoliopsida; Arecales; Arecaceae
Description: long non-coding RNA (EGUI_LNC003327)
Source: RNAcentral
AUUUAAAGUCGCAGGGAAAUUUGCCAAUUCUUAUCACUGGUGGUUCUGAAAGAAAGUUGGUAGGGUCGUCCCAGAAAUAGGCAUAAUAGCGAUAUUGAGAUGCUGUGAAUUUAAGGCGGGUGUUUGUGGGAAUAUCCGCAAAGCCCUGCCUUUUUGUAGUGUAGCUUCUUGUUCCCCGUGGCCCCAAGUUGGGGCUACGUUUCCUCCCAGCAGCAGGGCAGCAGG